RNAcentral lists this long non-coding RNA (224 nucleotides) under Elaeis guineensis (African oil palm). Its description in RNAcentral is "long non-coding RNA (EGUI_LNC051332)". Lineage: Eukaryota; Viridiplantae; Streptophyta; Magnoliopsida; Arecales; Arecaceae. The record is from RNAcentral.
CCAAUCGAGAUCUGUCAAUGCCAGUAGCAUGCCCACACUUCUUCAAUGAUGGAAGACCAUAAAGCUUAAUAUUGAUUGGAGAGGUUUAGGUUAGGUCAUAUCUAAUCAGUCAUCAUAUGAUUGAUCUAACUGGCAUAGGCUAAACUAAAAUACCUUAGCAACUAAUGAAUCCAAUCAUCUAAUUAGCUAGAUAAGACCUAAUCAUUCAAUUGGCCAGAUAAGUG